GCUCUUAUAAAGAAGAUAGUAUUCCUACAUAUCUGGUGGACCCACGACAAAUGGAUCAUAAAGUCUUUAAAAAAGAAUAGAUACGAUUACAUUGCAUGUAGUAACAGAUGCGAUCAUACCAGCACUAAUGCACUUGAUCCCAUCAGAACUCCCCAGUUAAGGGUGCUUGUGCGAGUGUAGUACUAGGAUGGGUGACCUGCCGGAAAGUCCUCGUGUUGCAUCCCUC
RNAcentral lists this ribosomal RNA (226 nucleotides) under Arabidopsis thaliana (thale cress). The record is from RNAcentral. Lineage: Eukaryota; Viridiplantae; Streptophyta; Magnoliopsida; Brassicales; Brassicaceae.